CCGAUGUUGGCGCAGUGGGAGAGCACUCGCCUGUUAAGUCGGGAUCCGUUGGUUCGAGCCCUGCCAUAGAAGUCUGGG
This 78-nucleotide transfer RNA is filed under the name Ceratitis capitata (Mediterranean fruit fly). RNAcentral describes it as "tRNA-Asn". The record is from RNAcentral. Lineage: Eukaryota; Metazoa; Arthropoda; Insecta; Diptera; Tephritidae.